UACAGAGGGGGCAAGCGUUAUUCGGAAUUAUUGGGCGUAAAGGGCGCGCAGGCGGCGAUUCAAGUGACGGGUGAAAUCCCUCGGCUUAACCGAGGAACUGCCUGUCAGACUGGAUUGCUUGAGGCCGGGAGAGGCGAGUGGAAUUCCCAGUGUAGCGGUGAAAUGCGUAGAUAUUGGGAGGAACACCAGUGGCGAAGGCGGCUCGCUGGACCGGUUCUGACGCUGAGGCGCGAAAGCGUGGGGAGCAAACAGG
RNAcentral lists this ribosomal RNA (253 nucleotides) under uncultured bacterium. RNAcentral's name for it is "partial 16S ribosomal RNA". It matches the Rfam family "Bacterial small subunit ribosomal RNA", at positions 524 to 776 of the family's 1533-position model. The record is from RNAcentral.